RNAcentral lists this ribosomal RNA (253 nucleotides) under uncultured bacterium. RNAcentral's name for it is "partial 16S ribosomal RNA". It matches the Rfam family "Bacterial small subunit ribosomal RNA", at positions 524 to 776 of the family's 1533-position model. The record is from RNAcentral.
GACAGAGGUGCCAAGCGUUAGGCGGAAUCACUGGGCUUAAAGCGUGUGUAGGCGGAAUGGUAAGUACCUUGUGAAAUCCCACGGCUCAACCGUGGAACUGCUUGGUAUACUGCUUUUCUUGAGCCACUUAGGGGCUGUCGGAACAAACGGUGGAGCGGUGAAAUGCGUAGAUAUCAGGAGGAACACCGGUGGCGAAGGCGGGUCUCUGGGCCGUAACUGACGCUGAGGAGCGAAAGCAUGGGGAGCGAACAGG